Molecule: ribosomal RNA, 497 nt
Filed under: uncultured bacterium
Lineage: Bacteria
Description: partial 16S ribosomal RNA
Rfam family: Bacterial small subunit ribosomal RNA
Source: RNAcentral
GAUGAACGCUGGCGGCGUGCCUAAUACAUGCAAGUCGAGCGGACAGACGAGGAGCUUGCUCCUCUGACGUUAGCGGCGGACAGGUGAGUAACACGUGGAUAACCUACCUAUAAGACUGGGAUAACUUCGGGAAACCGGAGCUAAUACCGGAUAAUAUAUUGAACCGCAUGGUUCAAUAGUGAAAGACGGUUUUGCUGUCACUUAUAGAUGGAUCCGCGCCGCAUUAGCUAGUUGGUAAGGUAACGGCUUACCAAGGCAACGAUGCGUAGCCGACCUGAGAGGGUGAUCGGCCACACUGGAACUGAGACACGGUCCAGACUCCUACGGGAGGCAGCAGUAGGGAAUCUUCCGCAAUGGGCGAAAGCCUGACGGAGCAACGCCGCGUGAGUGAUGAAGGUCUUCGGAUCGUAAAACUCUGUUAUUAGGGAAGAACAAAUGUGUAAGUAACUAUGCACGUCUUGACGGUACCUAAUCAGAAAGCCACGGCUAACUACGUG